Arachis ipaensis is the source of this 1810-nucleotide non-coding RNA. Lineage: Eukaryota; Viridiplantae; Streptophyta; Magnoliopsida; Fabales; Fabaceae. The record is from RefSeq and is a predicted model, not a curated record.
AGUCAUUUAUUCAUGAUACUAUAUUACUAUAUUCCUAGCUAGUAUAGGUUUAGUGUUCACUUGAUUGCAGGGCUUGUUAAGUUAUUAAUUAAUCAUACUUGUCACAGCCUUUUCUAACAAAUUUCACUCCUUCUCUAUCUGCUGUAAGUUCUAACAUAACCUUUUUAAUAAAUUGAGAUCAUAAUAUAUAUUUUCUAAAUUAAUUAAGCGAAUGAAUCUAGUCUUCAACCGUGAACACAAAUAGUUAAUUAGUUGUUGCAUGUAUGAUAAAUGUAGUACUCAUGAAGCUACUUAAUUAUAAGGAUAAUUUUAAGUUUUCUUCUCUCUAACAUUCUUCUCUCCAAAUUUUGUUGCUUUAUUCUAAUUAUUUGAAUGGGUUCUUGUUUGACAGUUGACUGAAUAAAAAUUGACAAGAAGGAAGGUAUAAGCUUUUCUUGUUUGAGGUUACUUGCUAAGAUUAAAGCCUCGCUAUCUUUCACUUAAAAUUUCUGAAGGUUUUGAUAAAUUUUACCACCAAUAGAAGCAGGAGGCUAAUCUGAUUCAAUAUGCUCUUAUUGUCAAUUAUCUAUGUUUCCAUCUCAAUGUGUUCCUGUCCUAAAUAACAUUGUUCAUCUUUUGUUGUUUAGGAAGCUUGCAGACAAAAUUGCAGCUUCUGGUUACUAUGUGGUUGUUCCGGACUUCUUUUAUGGUGAACCCUAUGAUCCUCAAAAUACUAAUAGACCUUUAGGAAUUGAGAGUUAGUGAUGGCGUGGGUAUAAAGUCUUUAAUGCAACUUGUGUUAGUGAUUAGAUAAAUAAAAAAAAUAGAAUAAAAGUUACUCACAUAAAUGUUUAAUAAGCAAUAAGCAAUAAGCUACUUCGGACUUGUCUCAGCUGCCAAUAAGGUUAGAAAUCAGUAUCGUUUGUCCAUAUAUGUAUUUGUUGCUGCAAAUCAAUGGCUUAUUGAAUUCUGUUUUUGGCUGCAGUUUUUCUCAUCAAAUGGUUUUCCUUGCCCAAGUCUCUAGAAUCCUCCUGACCACUUUGUAAAAAUUAUUAACAAGGAUUUUGAACAGGUAGGUAGAAUAUGAAUCACUCUAAGAUCUUUACUGAACAACAAUUUAUUUUAAGAGGUGGAGAUGCUUUGAUGUAAAAUACUUGCUAUAUAAGUAGACAAGCAUUUGAUUUUAAAUAACUGCAUUAUUAUUGAUCAUGAUAGUUUAGGUAAGUUAGUUUUAGUUUUAGGCCUGUAAUAUUUUAUAUGUACUCAAAUUGAUUCUUAAUGUAUUAAAAUAACUUGCUGGAGGUGAAGGGUUGGAUCAAAAAAUUAAAAAGAAGAGAUAUGUUGGAGCUGUAGGAAACAGAGUCAUGACUAGUGAAAGAGAUGUGAAACGAUCUGCUCUUCCAAAGGCAAAUGCUGAUUCGAAGAUGCAUUUUUAUGAUACAUAAGGUUUCAGAUUGAAGCCACUUCCUGGAUCUAGUGGAAUCAACAAGUCUAGAGGCUCUUUUGAGCCUUCUACUAUUGGGGUGCGUAAUAUGCUUGCAAGUGAGCAAGAAUGUGGAUCUCUUCAUAGGGACCAUAUAGCUGAGCAGAAAGUAUUGGCAAAGGGAAGCAACAGGUUUUUUGCUCAUCUUGACAUUGCCAUGUUCUAAUAUAUGACUACAAUCUAGUUGCUGAAGAAUUCAAUUAAUAUCUGCAUAAUGGCCCUUGUUGACAUUUAUAUCCUUUUAGAAUUGAUAUUUAUUGGCAAAUUGAUUAAUCAUUGAUGUUGAUUGCUCUUGUAAUUAGAUCCAACAAUCAGGAGGAUUUCCCAGCAUCAUUGAUCUUGAUUAAU